Sphaerulina musiva SO2202 is the source of this 81-nucleotide non-coding RNA. The record is from the annotation of a RefSeq genome assembly. Lineage: Eukaryota; Fungi; Ascomycota; Dothideomycetes; Mycosphaerellales; Mycosphaerellaceae.
GCCCGCUUAGCUCAGCGGUAGAGCGCGUCACUAGUAUCAAAGCUCAUGACGAGGUCGUCUGUUCGAUUCAGGCAGUGGGCA